CAACAGAUCACUUUGUUUCUGGUGAGGCCCACUUUUAGGUUUCGUUAGGUUGGAUGUACAACAGUUUUGUCCUAACGCAUAAUGUCUUUGCCCACAUGGCAUUGACUUUAUGGGAUCUCAACUGAAUGUCCUGGUUGAUCAUGUACUUUAAAAAUAGUAAUCAUAAUAUUCUUUCUUUAUCUGGCCCCUAUAAACUAUAAACAGUUAAAUUUUGUAUUCAUUAUGUAAACGAACUUGAAGCAUACACGAUUGUUGGUAGGGGAACAAUGCUGUUUAACUUGACCACUGCCGUUUAAUUGAUAAUAACCAUUGCAUAAGGAUAAAAUAAAUAAAUAACUCUUGACUUUAAUGAGCAUCUCAUGUGAGACUAAAACUCAGUCUGAGGGACACCUGGGUGGCUCAGUUAGUUAAGUGUCUUUUGAUUUCAGCUCAGGUUCUCAUCUCACAGUUUGUGGGAUUGAUCUCCAUGUCGGGUCGUGCACUGACAGCACAGAGUCUGCUUGAGAUUCUCUCUCUCCCUGUCUUUAUGCCCCUCCCCGACUCGUGCAGGCACUCUCUCUCUCAAAAUAAAUAUGUAAAUUUAAAAAUUUUUAAAAACUCUGAGUUCUGAAGUUAAGGCUUUAAAAUUAAAACUAAACAUAUAUUGGUUAGGAGAGUUUAGGUACGUGAAGAUAUAGAUGUCAGCAAGUCCGAGCAUUUCUUAGUUCCAUGACUGAAAACAUGUCCCUGACCUUCACUGCCAGACAGGUCCUGCAUUAUCCCCACUAUCCCCACUCGAGUCUGACACCAGUGAAAGAACAUGAGAAUGCAAAGUGGGCCCUCGCUAGGAUGGCAAUGUCUUCUAAUUCCUGGCAAUUAUCCUUGAAGUUCAAGUUAGCCAGCAAUUACUGAGUUUGGGAAACAUGGAGAAGAAUGAUACCGAUUUUUAACUUACUAGCAACUGUCUCUUUCAGUUGGGUACCAAAGCCGUGGGUGAUCAUGCGGAGCUCUCUGUACCUGUGCUGUGCUCGCUCACUCUUCUGGCUCAGCAGGAUGUAGUCAUUCAGGCUGAGGAGUGAGGAAGGGGUACAAGUUGGAACUGGUAAGUAAACACGUUAUGAUGAAUUCAGGGAGUUGAUCAACAAAUGUAUCCAUGAAAAAACUAGGAAAAGAAAUUUUGACUGCUUCUUGCUGCUUGUUACUGUGAAAAAGAUAAUCGAUUGCUUCCUGAUUCUUAGGAAAAGGAAACAAAAAUUCACUCCCUCAACGGAAGAGGAGCCCAUCGUUCUAGCCAAAUGUACCUGAUGAACGGGAACAUGAAGUCAUGGGGCAGACACACAUCAGCAUCGCUGGUCCCCUGCCUUCACACGUACCACCUAGACAACCAUCUCCUCUUCUCAGGGCCCAUCUAGGUCCUACAUCCCCAAAUAGGGAAAAGCUAAGCCUUCCCUUGGGACUGCUCAGGUGUGUGUUGGGGUGGAGGGAACCAAGCAUGAGCUGGCCACGUGGCAGCCUCCUAGGUUUCAUGUAACCAUGCCUGCCCAUCACAGACCGGGCUGAGAAUUCACAUUUAUUCCCCUGUGUUCUACUUAUUGUAUUGUAUCCCUUUCCACACACCUUUCCAAGCCCCAAGCUGGUAAACACCCUUCUUCCAAACCCACGGAAGUCUUCGACACACUUCCAGCUAUAUUUGGAGCUGUCCAGCAGGCCAAAGCAAGUUUUUGUAUAUUUUGAGAAAUUAACCUAUUGGAAUCCUCAGUCCUUGGAAUCCAGCAGGAGUCAGAGUAGCUGAUCAAAGCUUUCCAUCCAUAGAGACCUGGGGAACUGGGUCCUGCCUCAGCUAGGUCAUAAGGCCAGUGAGAAAGGACUUGUAUAAAGCAAUUGUGGCAGCCCAGGAAAAUGACUAGAAACCGCAAUCUACCCACAGGCCUCAGUGAAGCAAAGGGCAAAACUAGGUUAAAAAACAAAUCGUACGGUGCAAUCUCGCUAAAACUGCAAACUGUAUACAUGUCAUAUUCAUAUUUUUGAAAAAUAUCAGAAGGAAACAUCAGAAUUCAACAUUUUGAGCCUUUCUUUCCCCGCCUUCUAGGAAUACAGGUGAUUUUUAUUUACUUGUGUUUUGAUGCAGACCUAUUUUUCCCCACAUUUUCUCCACUAAUCAUGUACUAUUGUCGUAAUCAGAAAAAAGCUACAAUUUAAAAAAACUACAAGUGACCCACACCAGCCUAUGACUUGGAAGAGUGCUACUAAUGGAGCCAAGUGAGUCCAGUGACAACAGUCAUUCUCCAAGCCCUCCUGUGCCCUUCAAAUGGCCUCCCUGUACCCAAAAGAAUGAAGCUUUAAAAGUGUGCAUCAUCAUACACGGAGCCAUUAGACCACUGAGUCUGCCUUUGUAGAGCGUAGAAUAAGUGUUCUGAACAGGAAGGACUCAGCGGCUUUCUCUUCCCCGUAGUCCAUUCCUCACCCUCACAGAGCAGGGCACUUAUCCUUCUGACCACCUCCAUCCUCACCUGGAAAAUCAGGGAGCAGUAAGCCACACACCAAAGGCGAUAGCACAGGAAUGAGGACUUGGAGAAGUUGCUGGGCCAGACACCAGUGGGUCUGAUGCAGGACAAAGGUCAGGGACACACCGCGGAGGAGGCAGCUCUGCACCCACGGAUGGGAGCACCGUGCAUGGGGGCUCCGAUCCCAGCUCUGCAACCAUGCAGCCUGCAAUCUUUGGGCAAGUUAUUUGGUCUCCCUUGGCCUCAUGUUCCUCAUCUGUAUGGGAGUCUUCUCUUUUGUCUCCCAAGAAACCGUUGUUGAAGUUUCACAGAACAUUGGCUUCCUCCCAGAACAGGAUUAGGAAAAAAAAUGGCAACUGUGAAUCUGAACAGAAACAAUGUCCUAGCUUGGGAAACAUGGAAUGGAAAUAAAGUGUGUUUCCCUUUACUUUUGCUUAAAAUGAAAGAAAACCAAAACACCCCACCCUCACACAUACCCCAGAUACAAUUGUAUAAUCAUACAAUAAUUGUUCAGUUACUUCGAUGUUGCAAAGCAAAGCCAGAAUGCCAGAAUUUUCUAAGCAUCCAUUGUCCAAUAUGGUAGCCACUGACCACAUGUGGCUGUUGGAGGGUGGCCAGUCCCAGCUGAGAUGUGCUGUCAGCAUAAAUAAACUACACCCUGGAUUUCAAAGAUUUAGUGUGAAAAGAAGGUCACAUAUCUCAUUCAUUUUUUUCAUUGAUUAUAUGUUGGCAUGAUAAUAUUUUGUAUAUAAUGAAUCAAAAUAUAUUAUUAAAAGUAAUUUCACCUGUUAAUUUUUACCUGUAGUGUGCCUUACUAAAAAAUUUAAAAUUACUUACGUGCUUGGCAUAUUUCUUGUAGGCAGUGCUGAUCUAGGAGAAAGAUUUUCUUUCUGGGAAUAGGCUCUACCUGCCCUUUCUUCAGGUGCCUUGUGACAUGAUGACAGAACUAUGUGAAGCAUGUUGCACACAGGGAAGAUGGAAGGGCUGAAGAUAUUUAUUCCACCACCACCCCCAAGCCCUCAUUGGGUUAUCAUGGCUUUGAUGUGAGCCACUGGGUCUUUCUCCUUCUUCCCUUCCCCCCCUUCCUCUUCUUUCUUUCUCUUCCCUCUUACUUAUUGUAAAAUCAUCUAUGCCAAAGUGCCUGCCAUUCCUGAGCUCUAAUAGGAGUGAGGUGUCGGUCAGAUAAUUAGCUCCUGUUAUACUUCACUCAUCAUUAGCACCUGAUUUACUGGGAAAGCUUUACUCCAGGUAAAAUCAUUACCUGCCAGAAUGAUGUGUCUUGUAGAGACAGGCUUUGCCUGCCCAGAAUACUUCCAGAGUUCUUUAAGUAAUACUAUUUUGGUUUUUCUUUGCAAAACUGAUCAACAUCUUUGGUUGUAUCAAUCACAGUGCCCUGUACUCUUCCCCUCCCCACUGGACAUUCAGGAUAAUUCAACUCCCUUUCCCAGGACUUGAGUCUCAAGAAGAAUGACCUACCAUGGGAGUGGAGGUAGAUCUAAGCCAUUUGUAUAUCAGUCUCCACAGAGACUGACUGAUCACUCCUGUUACGGGGUUCUUAGACCUACCUUGAUACUGUGCUGAUUGAUUUUCAAUUCUUCUGUCAAUCUGAUGAGCUACCCAAUAAGACUUGAAAUAACUUCCUUUUGCAUUUAAGCUGCGCAGAAUCAUUUUCCAUUCCUUGCAGCCACAGCCCUCUAUGUUGUUAUUCUAAUUCAGCAAAACAGUGAAAUGCUGCAAAAAGUAUUUGAGAACCUUUAUCCCUGGCUGCAAAUAUUAAUAGGAUGGAAUAAAGAGGUAAAUUGGUUGAAACACAGCCAUCCGCUUUGUCUUCGUACAAAACCACCAUUGUGCUGUUCCUUGGCUGGCUCCGUUGAUCAUGAAGCUGAUUCCCACUAGUUCUUGCAGACCUCACCUUCAUGCUGGGGGCUGCUGAGCUCUGGGAAAUGGGAGUUGAAAGGAAUGAGAAGGCCUGGAUCUCCCCGAUCCUUUCACUUUUUAAACACUACUAUCGUCACUUCUGGCUCAAGCUGUCCCCUGUGAAACCAUUUUGAAGUUGGGCCGAAAGCUACACAUCUCCAAAUGUUCUUUAAAUACCUGCUAGAUUUUAACCGCUGGGGAGCAACUAUUUCCUCAUGACCUGCAUGUGCGACUUCAACUAUGUUUGUCAUUCAGGUAGAGUACUGGUGGCUUCAUCUACUUAACCAGGGUAAAGGAAUGCUUCCUUUCUUCCCAAAGUGUACCCAAUUGUCCUCUUAUUUGGGGGUUUUAAAGACUUGGUCAUGGUCUUUCCUUAAUUCUAAGUCACCCAGUGCAAAUCUCUGGAGCAUUUUAUGAUGGGAAGAGGAGAAACUUCAUGUAAGUUUUGCAGCUGUGAGCCCUGGAUUUGCCAUUACUAAAAUACCUUGCAUUUGCAAAAUAAGUUGUCAAGAAAUUGUUUCUUUGUAAACCCUAUACCUGUAUUUUCCAUUUUUGUUAGAAAGGUUGGUGCCAGCUAGGGAAGAAGGGUUUAGGGGUAAAUAUAGCUCCUUUGGUGUGUGUAACGAAGAGACUGACAUAAUGUUCUUUUACCAGAAUUGUUUAUCAGUUGCAUACUAAGUUUCAAGCACUAAACUAGGGUUUUGCAUUUAUUAUUUGACUUGUUUUUCGCAGCAACCCUAAAAGUUAGAUACCAUUAUCCCAGGUUUAAAAAACAAGAAUGCUGAAAACUAAGUAGGUGCUCUAACUACAGUCACCCAGCUAAGAAGUGGCAGGUCAAGAUUUCGAAGACCAGCAAUGUCUGACUUCAAACCAUAGUUAAUUCCAUCAGAUCUUCCUGUUUCUUUUUUUGCUUUUGUUUUAUGUUUAUUCUGAGAGGGACAGUGUGCGCUUGUGAGUGGGGGAGGGGCAGAGAAAGAGAGAGUCUCAAGCAGGCUCCGCGCUGUCAGCGCAGAGCCCGACUUGGGCUCAAACUCACGAACUGUGAGAUCAUGACCUGAGCCAAAACCAAGAGUCAGAUGUUUAACCACCUGAGCCACCCAGGCUCCCCACAUCUUCCCGUUUCUUUGCUGUUGUUUUUGCCAUUUAAUAAAAUGCAGUUUAGUUAAAAAGUAAAGCUGUUUAACCAAACAUAACUUUGUUUUUAGGUUAACCCUUAAAUAACAUGAAACAAGAGUUAAAGAGACAGACCCUUCCUCAAGGAGACGUACCCUAAAUCAACAAGUGGAAAGUCACGGACGGCUUUAUCACCUCGAAGGAUGGGCAUUUCUGGUUCCACCUACUGUUCCAGCAUCAUGCUGAGCCAACUUGUGGGCUGAGAUGAGCGCUCAGAUGAGAACUCCAAGCAGACUUCUCAACACAUGCCUGUCAAGUUUGCAACCAGUCAGAUGUGGAAUUGUGUUUUCCCAGACAGAAGUGGAAAGUUACUCCUACCUCACAGAAUUGUGUGAGUAGAACAUAAACUUUAUAAAACACGUGGCACUAAAUAGCAUUGCUACAGUACAUGUGAGUGUGUCCGGUGGAAGAAAUUGUUGCCGGCCACGGGGUCAUGGGGAUGUUGUAAAUCAUAGAUGGGAAUCAUCAUUGUUUUCUCUCUCAUAUUUAGAUCUGUAAUCUACCUGAAACUGACUUUUGCCUGUGGCAUGAGAAAGAAUUCAUAAUAACUAUUGGUUUUAAGGUCAAGACCUUUAGUAGACUCUUCUUGACCCCUGGGUCACUCUCAUGACCUUGACCCUCCAAGAUAACUGGGUUCCACUGCACUCUGUCUUCUUUCCUUCCUGCUCCCUGUUGACACAGGCCAUCUUCCUGUAUGUGCAGACAUACCGAGCUGGGGAAAAAGAAUGCUUAUCUGUCUUCCCAAGGCCUGUGUCCUUCAUAAAGGAUGGUCUUGGAGAAUCUCUAAAAGGCUAGAACAUAGGUGGAAAAUCAUGGUGGGAAGAGCCACAGUACAGCCCACCCUCCUCUUCCAAAUCUUCUGUUUGUAUAAGCUUGGCAGGAAAGGGUGAGGGAUGACACUGAGGCAGCAAAGACAGCUUGGAGACUUCUCUUGGGAUCUGGGAUCGGCCCCUAGUUGUUUGAGCUCUGAUGCCUCUUCCUUCAGCUUUGGAUCCCAUUUAGCAAUUCUUAGGCAACCAGACAAGUUCCACAUACCCACAUCUCAUCACACCACGGUGGUCUUGCCAGGGAAAGGGGACAACACAGGAGAGAACUGGGGUCCAAACAUAGUGACGCCUGUUGACACUUGCCAGUCUUACCUAAGGCUUUCCCUGUGUGUGCACACUUAGAGUCAGGAUGAGUGCUGGCGCCCUCUGCAGUGCCGAGUUCCUGGUACCAGGGAGAAUAUCAGUGAUGCAGACGGUGACAUUCGGUGUGUGCAUCUUACAAGGAGUUCUCUGUCACCUCCCAAAGUUAAAAGCAACAACAACAACAACACUGAAACAAAAGUUGCCACGGCUGAACGGCUGGUGAUAACGUUCGUUAAAAACAACUACCGCAGUCUGUAUGUUGUGGAGGAGCCACGUGGCACCUGGAAAAAUUGCAUUCUGAUAUUUUAGGGGAAAAAACAAAAGUUAAAAGCAGAAAGAAAAGAACUCUCCUAUCUCAAAAGACACAGAUUUUCCCAAUUCUGAGAAUCUGAAUCACAGCCAAUUUACAAAGUCCUUUGAAAUUAACAGGUUAUAUGAGCAGAGCUGAUACAGCCUUAUCUGAAAGUGAGCAAGAACAGCCCCCAUCAUGAUGGAAAAGCAAAGCAAAAAGCUUCUAAAGCCUGUUACGGCCUGAGCCAGAAGAAUUAAGGUCUUUGCACAAUAUUGUCCCAGAAUGUCUCAGAAUCAUAUAUUUUUGUGAGAAACUUGGAAGUCAGAUUUUCUUGUGUGGCAGAACACAUACCAUGGGGAUUUCAGAGCCGUGGAUGGCCAGGAUUUUUACUAAGCAGCAGGAAAAGUUCAGGGCUAAAACCAAGAAUAAUGAAGAUGUACAGAGAAGUAUAGGUGGGG
Molecule: long non-coding RNA, 7453 nt
Organism: Acinonyx jubatus (cheetah)
Lineage: Eukaryota; Metazoa; Chordata; Mammalia; Carnivora; Felidae
Exons: 6
Source: RefSeq, a predicted model, not a curated record